This is a long non-coding RNA of Equus asinus (donkey), 2787 nucleotides long. NCBI's taxonomy places the organism in Eukaryota, Metazoa, Chordata, Mammalia, Perissodactyla, Equidae. The record is from Ensembl.
GUCCGCACCUGGGAUCCCAACUGGGAACCCUGGGCCGCUAAGGUGCAACGUGUGAACUUAACCACUGCGCUACCUGCUGUCCCCUUGGAGAUAGGUUUUCGUGCCACUAUGAUGUACUUGUUUGUACUCUGAAUCCUUUAUUAUUUACAUAGCUGUGUAUUUGCAUAACUCGAUGAAGCAAAAACAAAACAAAAAAUGUAUUCAAGAAGCCAAAAGACAAAAUAAAACUCUCUCUCAUGAAGCAAGUAAAUUUAAGGUAAAAAGCCCUUCUUUUUCCUGGAUUACAUCCUAAGAACAGAAGUAGCAGUAAAACAUACAUUUAUUUUUCUUACCGUGUGUGUAUGAUCUGGAAUAGGCAAAAAUAUGUCUUAUAAAGAAUUAUACUCUUUAAUUUUCAGAGGAAAGGUGAUGGAAAUGAUGCAUUACGGGCAGGUCUAAUUUAGGAAAGCCCCAUUGAGUGCUGACCUGGCUUACCCAGAACUACUCCCUGUGUGUUGGAGGAUGAUUAAAGAUCAGUUGAAGUCAUUUGAUGUUCACAGAGAUGGCUAAGGGCUGAAUGUGAACUGAGGUCACCAAACUUUUUGUCUCCAUGUCAUCUCAUUCAAUAAUAUUUACCAAGUUCCUUUCACAGUACAUUACAUUCUUCUAUGUCAUUUCUCUAUGAUGGGACCUGUUAUAAUUGGCAAUGAUUAUGAUAGCUGGGCUGGAAAAGCCAGGUCAAGUUGUUUAGCCAGUUGGCUAAGACACUAUGUGUUACCAUGAUUAGAGAGUGACCUAGAAAGAGAGUGACACUUCUACUCUCAGAAUGACCACAAUCUUGGAGGUGAUCUAGUUGCUACAGAAGUAAAGCAAAGAGGAUACUAGGUGCCCAGAGCUGGACGAGACACCUUCGUGGAUGCAAAAACAUCUUCUCUCAAAUUUUGAACACUCAUCCUUUGACGUCGUUCCCAGACCUUUCACCGUCUUGUGGAUCUACAGUGGUACUUAUCUACAAUGCUCUUUUACUUCUUAUUUCUUGGCACCAUUCUCUUAACAGUGGAGACUACAGCUGAAUUGGCUUUUGAUGCCACAACAUUAUACUUUUGGUUGAGUUUAUUAUCAACUAAAAUGCCAAAGCAAGCUCUCCUCUGUCCCCUACAAAACAUAUGCACUCAACUAAUUGAUUCUUCAUACCCAAAGGAGAUUUUUAAAAAACAAUUUCAUCAAUCUUGCCUAUCCAGAUCUUAGUGAAUAAAAAAAAAGUUUGUAUCAUCUGGAAAUUUGACAAUCUUGUUUUUGCCAUUUGGCCAAAUUGUUUAUAAGGAUAGAGUCAAGGACCAAGAUCUUUGGAAGAACCCUAGAAAAAUGAUUUUGGAAGAAAAUGGAAAGGAACAGCAACUUUGCAAGAUGCUGCUGGAAAAAGAGUACCGUGCUCAAAUACAUGUGCAAAAUGCUACAUACUAAAUUGCUCUUUUUUGAGAUUUAAAAUACGUAUUGGUGAUUAAAAACUCUAAGACACUUCCUUCCAGAUUGAAAUUGAUCAACUAAUUUAGCAUUCCCAAACUGUAUUCCACUAGGUAUUCCUUGAUCAAAUAAGUUAAGAAAGGCUGGCAUAAAUAGAUAUUUAUUUACUGUAGGACUUUCAGAACCAUAUUUAUGGUAAUGUAUAAUGUGAAUCUAUAGAUAGAAUAUUCUAUCUUUCUGCAGUCUAUUGGACCAACUAGAGACUUUUUUCUUUUCACAGAGCAUUUUUCAAGACUGAUAUGAUAAAUUUGGUAAACUCUGCCUGCGAAUAUUUUGGGGCUGUGGUGGUGAUCUUGGCUCCAUGUCUGCCUAGCUUUCCAAUUUCAAAUUCUGUGAAUUGAUCUGAUAAAUAACACACCUACACCAGUGCUAUGAAAAAACAUUAAGACUACUUUUUGAAAGAAGCUAAUUUUUAAAAAUCAGCUUCAUUGAGUUAAAAUCAACUUUAUUAUUAUUUACAUACAAUAAAAUGUGAUCUUUUUACGUGCACAUUUUUAGAGUUUUGACAAAUGUAUACAUCUGUGCAACCACCAUCACAGUUAAGAUAGAACAUUUCCAUCACCCCUAAAAUUUCCUUCGUGUCCUUUUGCAGUCAGUUUCCUCUGACCCCAGCCCCAGGCAACCACUGAUCUGCUUAUUACUUAUAGAGGGGAUUUCCUUUUUUCUAGAAUCGCAUAUAAAUGAUACCCUACAGCAUGUACUUUUGUGCCUGGCUUAUUUUUCUCAGCAUGUUUUUGAGAUUCAUCCAUGUUGUUGUAUGUAUGAAUAGUUCAUUCAUUUUAUUACUGAUUAGUAUUCCACCCUAUGGAUACAACACUACUUGUUUAUCCAUUCACCUGUGAUGGGCAGUAGGACUGUUUCUAGUUUUUGGCUAUUGUAAAUAAAGCUUUUAUGAACAUUGUAUACAAGUUUGUGUGUGCUAUCAGCUGUAUAUGAGAGUUUUUCCACAUCCUUACCAUCACUUGGUAUGGGUCCUCUUUUUCACUUUACCCAUUCUAGUGGGUAUGAAGAGAUAUCUCACUGUGGUUUUAAUUUGUACUUCUCUAAUGACUAAUGGUGCUGAGUACCUUUUCAUGUGAUAUUGGCCAUUUAUGUAUCCUCUUUUGUGAAGUUCCUGUUCACAUCUUUUGUCUAGUUAAAAACUGGGUUGUUUGCCUUCUUAUUAUUGCUGUCUGAGAGUUCUUUCUAUGUUCUUUAUGUGUCCUUUUCCAGGUACAUAUGACGUGAUACAUACAUAUGUCAUAUAUGUUAUAUUUACACAUACAGAUAUAUAUUGGAUACAUA